Picea glauca (white spruce) is the source of this 80-nucleotide non-coding RNA. The record is from Rfam. NCBI's taxonomy places the organism in Eukaryota, Viridiplantae, Streptophyta, Pinopsida, Pinales, Pinaceae.
GGUAAUUUGGCGGAGCGGUCUGAGUCGCUAGAUUUAGGUUGUCAUUGGAAAGGGUGCAGGUUCAAAUCCUACAAUUAUCA